This 466-nucleotide ribosomal RNA is filed under the name uncultured Acidimicrobiales bacterium. RNAcentral describes it as "bacterial SSU rRNA". It matches the Rfam family "Bacterial small subunit ribosomal RNA", at positions 8 to 485 of the family's 1533-position model. Lineage: Bacteria; Bacillati; Actinomycetota; Acidimicrobiia; Acidimicrobiales. The record is from RNAcentral.
AGAGUUUGAUCAUGGCUCAGGACGAACGCUGGCGGCGUGCUUAACACAUGCAAGUCGAACGAGAUCCACGGUGUAGCAAUACACCUGAAGAUCUAGUGGCGAACGGGUGCGUAACACGUGAGGAACUUGUCCCGGUCUCUGGGAUAACAGUUGGAAACGACUGCUAAUACCGGAUGACGUCGGAGCAUCGCAUGGUGCGCUGACGAAAGGGUUACUGGAUCGGGAGAGCCUCGCGGCCUAUCAGCUUGUUGGUGGGGUAACGGCCCACCAAGGCAUCGACGGGUAGCUGGUCUGAGAGGAUGAUCAGCCACACUGGGACUGAGACACGGCCCAGACUCCUACGGGAGGCAGCAGUGGGGAAUCUUGCGCAAUGGGCGAAAGCCUGACGCAGCAACGCCGCGUGCGGGAUGAAGGCUCUCGGGUUGUAAACCGCUUUCAGCAGGAACGAAAAUGACGGUACUGCAGA